UCUAGCAGAGGUUAGGUUGCGUUGCGUGUCUUGAGGUUACAAACAGUUUUCAAGGGGCUUAUACAUCUAGAACUUUGGUAUGACCUUUACCAAGGUUUACUUCGUCAAUUGAGUCAUCGUUGUACCCAUGCACACUAACCUAGACAACGACACCGGGACGGUUUUGAAGAUUGUGCUAACUUACUUUUACAAAGCCAAAAUUUGCAGUUCCCCUACAUUUUCACAUUUUACGAAUUCUAAAAAACUUAGUUUAUCGAGAGCCGAUGAUAACACACCCAGUCGCUGCAAAACACAGUAAGGUCGCUUGCGUUCAGUUUUGUUUAGGGACGGUACUACGCCACACACACCACCUCCUACGGGCUGCCUUCUUUGUUCCUCCCUUUCGGGCAGCUUCCUCGUCGUGCCUCGCCGCUGUGCCGGACUUACUCUCGGAGCGAUUAAUUUAGAUUUUAGAAAAGUUAAUGUUUUCCCGAAUUAGCAAUAUGAAAGUGCAACAAGAAUAUGUCCAGUCCCGCCGCAGCGUCGCUUGAGUUCCGUGGUUCCGUGACCUGACUCUCUGCCUCUCACGCUGUAGUAGUCGUGCCCAGCCCAGUGCGAGUGCAAUGCGAAGUGUAACAAGUGCUUCCUUCUGACGGCUCAGCGUUCCGUGAUUUCCGAGUCGUUCUCCCCAUCCAGCGCUCAGCGCACGUCUAAAGAUCGUGCAAGGCUUUGGCCGAAGCGAGUCCGCGCUGAACCACUAACACCAAGAUGGACACACGAGAAACGCUGGGGUGUACUCUCUGCGACAGGAAAUUUUCUUACGGAUCUUUUCUGCGCCGUCAUCUCCGCACGCACACGGGGGAGAAGCCAUUCGCAUGUUCUUUGUGCGACAAGAAAUUUUCACGAGUAGAUGUACUGCGUGAACAUCUCCGCACGCACACGGGGGACCAGCCAUUCGGAUGUUCUUUGUGCGACAAGAAAUUUUCAC
This is a long non-coding RNA of Frankliniella occidentalis (western flower thrips), 967 nucleotides long. RefSeq lists it as uncharacterized. The transcript is spliced from 2 exons. NCBI's taxonomy places the organism in Eukaryota, Metazoa, Arthropoda, Insecta, Thysanoptera, Thripidae. The record is from RefSeq and is a predicted model, not a curated record.